AAAUCAAUAAAUUCGUUUCGCAGACGGCGGGAUGUCACAGCUUUCAGUGAGUUAACCAGUACCGAAAGCUGCACUGUUGGUGGGUAUUCGAUCAGCAUGUGGACAUGA
This 108-nucleotide small RNA is filed under the name Salmonella enterica subsp. enterica serovar Typhi. Its description in RNAcentral is "StyR-151". Lineage: Bacteria; Pseudomonadati; Pseudomonadota; Gammaproteobacteria; Enterobacterales; Enterobacteriaceae. The record is from RNAcentral.